This 245-nucleotide ribosomal RNA is filed under the name uncultured bacterium. RNAcentral describes it as "partial 16S ribosomal RNA". It matches the Rfam family "Bacterial small subunit ribosomal RNA", at positions 524 to 768 of the family's 1533-position model. The record is from RNAcentral.
UACGUAGGGUGCAAGCGUUGUCCGGAAUCAUUGGGCGUAAAGAGCGUGUAGGUGGCCCGAUCAGUCCGCUGUGAAAGCCCAGGGCUCAACCCUGGAAUGCCGGUGGAUACUGUCGGGCUAGAGUCCGGAAGGGGCGAGUGGAACUCCUGGUGUAGCGGUGAAAUGCGCAGAUAUCAGGAAGAACACCGAUGGCGAAGGCAGCUCGCUGGGACGGUACUGACACUGAGACGCGAAAGCGUGGGGAG